ACUGAAGAAUGCAAGAAAGUUCUUAUCCAAAGGUGAUAAAGUGAAAGCCUCUGUCCGGUUCCGCGGGCGUGCUAUUACGCAUAAAGAUCUCGGCAGGGAAGUUCUUGAUCGCCUUGCAGAAGAAACGAAAGAUGUUGCGACGAUUGAAUCCAAAGCAAAAAUGGAAGGCCGCAAUAUGUUUAUGAUGCUUGCACCAAUAAACGAAAAGUAGUUUUUAACGAUACAAGGAGGAUACCAAUAUGCCAAAAAUGAAAAGCCAUAAAGGUUCACAAAAACGACUGCGCAAAACAGGUACAGG
This 298-nucleotide unclassified non-coding RNA is filed under the name Lentibacillus persicus. RNAcentral's name for it is "Long range pseudoknot". Lineage: Bacteria; Bacillati; Bacillota; Bacilli; Caryophanales; Bacillaceae. The record is from RNAcentral.